AGAAUCAACGCUGGCGGCGUGCCUAACACAUGCAAGUCGAACGAGAAAGUGGAGCAAUCCAUGAGUAAAGUGGCGCACGGGUGAGUAACACGUGACUAACCUACCUUUUAGUGGGGGAUAACCUAGGGAAACCUGGGCUAAUACCGCAUAAUACCUACGGGUCAAAGCAGCAAUGCGCUGGAAGAGGGGGUCGCGGUCGAUUAGUUAGUUGGCAGGGUAAUGGCCUACCAAGACUGUGAUCGAUAUCCGGCCUGAGAGGGCGCACGGACACACUGGAACUGAAACACGGUCCAGACUCCUACGGGAGGCAGCAGUGGGGAAUUUUGCGCAAUGGGGGAAACCCUGACGCAGCAACGCCGCGUGGAGGAUGAAGUCCCUUGGGACCGUAAACUCCUUUCGAUCGGGACGAUAAUGACGGUACCGGAAGAAGAAGCCCCGGCUAACUUCGUGCCAGCAGCCGC
Molecule: ribosomal RNA, 461 nt
Filed under: uncultured bacterium
Lineage: Bacteria
Description: SSU rRNA
Rfam family: Bacterial small subunit ribosomal RNA
Source: RNAcentral